Molecule: non-coding RNA, 654 nt
Organism: Chlorocebus sabaeus (green monkey)
Lineage: Eukaryota; Metazoa; Chordata; Mammalia; Primates; Cercopithecidae
Source: RefSeq, a predicted model, not a curated record
CUAAAAAAUCAAGAACUACUGUCUUAAAGAGCAGUAAUUGGUACCUAGUUAAGAGAGAUUUUGGAAGACAAAAAUUUAAGGGUUCAAUUUGCAAUGCAUUUUAAAUUUAUGUGUUUAUUUCCUUUUAGAAAGUAAUAUGUAUUGCAACUCAGCAAUUGGGUUUACAAAACUGGUCAUCUCAGAAAGAGAAGAUUAUACAGUUUUAUAAUCAACUUCAGGUUUGUGUUGGUGUGAUGUUAGUGGGCCCAACAGGUGGAGGAAAGACAACAGUCAGAAGAAUUUUGGAAAAAGCAUUAACACUAUUACCAAUUGCAGACUUCUUAUCAGUUGCAGAAAGCAAAUCUGCUUCAAAGAUUUCAGGAAGAAAAGGAAAAGUAGACAUUUGUGUUUUAAAUCCAAAGUGUAUCACUCUCAGUGAACUAUAUGGACAACUGGAUCCUAAUACUAUGGAAUGGACUGAUGGAUUAUUAUCAGCAACAAUUCGAAGUUAUGUAUAUUUUAACACACCAAUGAACUCAAAGAAAGACAUUGAUCUCAGACUAAAGUCAAGAAUCUCAGAUUUAUCCAAUGUAAGUUUAGUGUUGAAUUAAUAUUUUUAUUUAACGAAUGUGGAUUAUUUAAUUGCUUAUCCAAAGACUGAUGUUAAAACGUUAG